Oncorhynchus tshawytscha (Chinook salmon) is the source of this 2214-nucleotide RNA transcript. It is a transcript of the gene named pannexin-1-like, with no coding region annotated. NCBI's taxonomy places the organism in Eukaryota, Metazoa, Chordata, Actinopteri, Salmoniformes, Salmonidae. The record is from RefSeq and is a predicted model, not a curated record. The transcript has 11 exons.
CCUUAUUUCCGGAAUCCUUGGGACGUCUUAUAUACACAAUCUACGCCACGGCCCUACCCCCUCCCAGAAAGGAUAUACAACUCUCGCAUUUAAAUUGGUUCACAGCAAUUGCUUUGUUGUGCACCACCAAAGAUUUUACAGCACAGGUAGCUAAUUUCAACCAGAAAGUGUAUUUUGCUAGGUCAAUUCACAGCAUGGUUUGAUUUGUUGUUGGGCCAAGCGUACAGUACACGUGCCACACUCAUUACAUUAAUUUUACCAGUGGCUUAGCUAGCUGUUGUCAACAUUUCAAUUGUGAGUCUUUCAGUUUCAACUGCAGUGUUGUCAUUUCGAGCUCGCGAGGGACGAGGGUAAACUAGUUUAGAAAAGUAACAGUGGGUCGAUCUCUGCUAAGUAGACAACAGAGCCAGAGAUGGCUAUCGCCCACGUCGCUACAGAGUAUGUGUUCAGCGAUUUCCUCCUGAAGGAGCCGGGUCAGGCAAGGUACCGCGCCGUGCGCACUGAGCUAGCCAUGGACAAGAUGGUGACGUGCGUGGCGGUGGGACUCCCUCUCCUCCUUAUCUCUCUAGCCUUCGCCCAGGAAGUCUCUGUGGGUGUUCAGAUCAGCUGUUUCCCUCCAGCUAACUUUUCCUGGCGUCAGGCCAUGUAUGUAGACUCCUACUGCUGGGCAGCCCUACACACUCACACACUACCCUUAUGGCUACACAAGUUCUUCCCCUAUAUCCUGCUGCUGGUAGCAGUAAUUAUGUAUAGUCCAGCGGUGUUCUGGCGCUUCUCUGCCUCUCCUCUGCUUCAGUCAGACCUUAGCUUCAUCAUAGAAGAGCUCGACCGCUGCUACAACCGUGCUGUCACUCUGGCUAAACGCAUGGCCACUGCUGGGGAACACACAGACAGUGGUGCGUCUGACCCUACUGAGGGCUGUUUCAUGUACCCGGUGGUGGAGCAGUAUCUGCUGACCAAGAGGAGGAGUGUCGUGGUGUUGUGGCGCUACCUGCUGUGUCGAGGCCUCAACCUGCUCACCUUGCUUCUGGCCUGUGUCUACCUGGGCUACUACCUCCGCCUCGCCUCCCUCACUGACCAGUUCGGCUGUUCCCUGCGCACCGGACUCCUGGCCAAUGACACCUCAAUCCCCGACCAAUUACAGUGCAAGCUGGUCGCCGUGGGAGUAUUCACUUUGCUAAGCUUUGUUAACCUGCUGGUGUACGCCAUGCUGGUUCCCGUGGUGAUAUACUCCGCUCUGCGCCCCUUCUUUCAAUCACACACCCAUUUCCUGAAGUCCUACCAAUCACUGCCCACCAUCAGUGUUCUGCCCCUCCCGCAGGGCCAAUGGGAUGACCUGACGCUCUACUUCCUCUUCCUGGAAGAAAACCUCAGUGAGCUCAAGUCCUACAAGUACAUGAAGGUGUUGGAGUUGUUGAGGAGGAGGGGGGUGUGUGAGGGGGAGGACUUUGACGCCAUGGGACUGCUUCAGAUGCUAUGUCUGGUGAAGACUGAUGUCACGGACGGAAAGAGGAGCACCGCAGCUACCUUCAAUGCUAGUGACAAAACUACCAAUGCAAAUGCUAGCCUUGAUGCUAAAGCUAAUGAUAACCCUAUUGCUAAAGUCAGCCAUAUUGCUAAUGCUAACCCUGCUGCUGGGGAGGCUAGUAGCAAGGCCCCAACCCCCAGCCCAGCGUCCCCAGACUCAUGCCAAAGCCAGACCAGUGCCACUGAAAUGACAGAAUUCUCUGCUUUGUUGCCAGGCAACAGUGCAAUGACAGGCGGAAGGCGGAGUGACGAGGGGGCGGUCCGACAGCGAAUUAUCUGAUCGUUGCCAUGAAGGAACAGCCCCAGUGGGUUGUGGGACACUAGAAACCAGAGGUUCUAAUACCCAGAGAUCCAACAAGCCUUUAUCUAAACGACUCAGACUAAGCCGAGACACAACAUCUGACCUAUGUCGUCGCCAGAGAUCGCUUCCCUGUCCUGGGGACACAUGAAGGUGAAGGGCUGCUCCUCUUCCUAUAAGGACUGUAAGGUGUGGCCCGGGGGUAGCCGCGCAUGGGACUGGAGAGAGACUGGGACGGAUCCUGCAGAUCUGGAGGAGGUGCUUCAGAAGGGUGUGGCGACUCUGGUCAUCGGGCGGGGCAUGAGUGAGGCGCUGCAGGUCCCGUCCUCAACUGUGGAAUUCGUGAGACAGAGAGGAGUGGAGCUGAUAGUUCUGCAGACAGAGAAGGC